ACGCUCGACACCUACGGGGACAGCAGUGGGGAAUAUUGCACAAUGGGGGAAACCCUGAUGCAGCGACGCCGCGUGAGCGAAGAAGUAUUUCGGUAUGUAAAGCUCUAUCAGCAGGGAAGAUAAUGACGGUACCUGACUAAGAAGCUCCGGCUAAAUACGUGCCAACAGCCGCGGUAAUCUGAGCGGGCUGGCAAGGC
Molecule: ribosomal RNA, 197 nt
Filed under: uncultured bacterium
Lineage: Bacteria
Description: partial 16S ribosomal RNA
Rfam family: Bacterial small subunit ribosomal RNA
Source: RNAcentral